UACGUAGGGUGCAAGCGUUAAUCGGAAUUACUGGGCGUAAAGCGUGCGCAGGCGGUUUUGUAAGUCUGACGUGAAAUCCCCGGGCUCAACCUGGGAAUUGCGUUGGAGACUGCAAGGCUAGAAUCUGGCAGAGGGGGGUAGAAUUCCACGUGUAGCGGUGAAAUGCGUAGAGAUGUGGAGGAACACCGAUGGCGAAGGCAGCCCCCUGGGUCAAGAUUGACGCUCAUGCACGAAAGCGUGGGGAGCAAACAGG
This 253-nucleotide ribosomal RNA is filed under the name uncultured bacterium. Its description in RNAcentral is "partial 16S ribosomal RNA". It matches the Rfam family "Bacterial small subunit ribosomal RNA", at positions 524 to 776 of the family's 1533-position model. The record is from RNAcentral.